UACGGAGGGGGCGAGCGUUGUUCGGAAUCAUUGGGCGUAAAGGGCGCGUAGGCGGCCGACCAAGUCGGAUGUGAAAUCCCUCGGCUCAACCGAGGAACUGCACUCGAUACUGGUUGGCUAGAGUCCGGGAGGGGAUAGCGGAAUUCCCAGUGUAGCGGUGAAAUGCGUAGAUAUUGGGAAGAACACCGGUGGCGAAGGCGGCUAUCUGGACCGGAACUGACGCUGAGGCGCGAAAGCCAGGGGAGCGAAUGGG
RNAcentral lists this ribosomal RNA (253 nucleotides) under uncultured bacterium. RNAcentral describes it as "partial 16S ribosomal RNA". It matches the Rfam family "Bacterial small subunit ribosomal RNA", at positions 524 to 776 of the family's 1533-position model. The record is from RNAcentral.